Molecule: microRNA precursor, 126 nt
Filed under: Myotis lucifugus (little brown bat)
Lineage: Eukaryota; Metazoa; Chordata; Mammalia; Chiroptera; Vespertilionidae
Description: mir-9193 microRNA precursor family
Rfam family: mir-9193 microRNA precursor family
Source: Rfam by way of RNAcentral
CAUGCACUGGUGGGGUCCCUCGGCCUGGACUGUGCCCUCUCGCAAUCCAAGACCCCUCCAGGGAUGUCAGAGAGCCAGUUUCAGCCCGAUCCCACAGGCCAGGCCGAGGGACCCCACUGGUGCAUG